This 476-nucleotide ribosomal RNA is filed under the name uncultured bacterium. RNAcentral describes it as "partial 16S ribosomal RNA". It matches the Rfam family "Bacterial small subunit ribosomal RNA", at positions 28 to 523 of the family's 1533-position model. The record is from RNAcentral.
GAUGAACGCUGGCGGCGUGCUUAACACAUGCCAGUCGAGCGAGUGAGUUCUUCGGAACGAUCUAGCGGCGGACGGGUGAGUAACACGUGGGCAACCUGCCUCAUAGAGGGGAAUAGCCUCCCGAAAGGGAGAUUAAUACCGCAUAAAAUUAUCGAGUGGCAUCACAUGAUAAUCAAAGGAGUAAUCCGCUAUGAGAUGGGCCCGCGGCGCAUUAGCUAGUUGGUGAGGUAACGGCUCACCAAGGCGACGAUGCGUAGCCGACCUGCGAGGGUGAUCGGCCACAUUGGGACUGAGACACGGCCCAGACUCCGACGGGAGGCAGCAGUGGGGAAUAUUGCACAAUGGGGGAAACCCUGAUGCAGCAACGCCGGGUGAGUGAUGAAGGUCUUCGGAUUGUAAAGCUCUGUCUUUGGGGACGAUAAUGACGGUACCCAAGGAGGAAGCCACGGCUAACUACGUGCCAGCAGCCGCCGUAA